CUACGGGUCGCUCCAGUGAGGAAUAUUGCACAAUGGGGGGAACCCUGAUGCAGCAACGCCGCGUGGAGGAUGACGCAUUUCGGUGUGUAAACUCCUUUUAUAUGUCAAGAAAAUGACGGUAGCAUAUGAAUAAGCACCGGCUAACUCCGUGCCAGCAGCCGCGGUAAUACGGGAGGGUGCAAGCGUUACUCGGGAUCACUGGGCGUAAAGGACGCGUAGGCGGGUUGGAAAGUCAGGUGUGAAAUCCUACAGCUUAACUGUAGAACUGCACUUGAAACUUCUAAUCUAGAGUAUGGGAGGGGGAGAUGGAAUUAGUGGUGUAGGGGUAAAAUCCGUAGAUAUCACUAGGAAUACCUAAAGCGAGGGCGAUCUCCUGGAACAUUACUGACGCUAAGGCGUGAAAGCGUGGGGAGCAAACAGGAUUAGAUACCCCCGUAGUC
This 440-nucleotide ribosomal RNA is filed under the name uncultured bacterium. RNAcentral's name for it is "partial 16S ribosomal RNA". It matches the Rfam family "Bacterial small subunit ribosomal RNA", at positions 339 to 795 of the family's 1533-position model. The record is from RNAcentral.